UACAGAGGUCUCAAGCGUUGUUCGGAUUCAUUGGGCGUAAAGGGUGUGUAGGUGGCGCCGUAAGUCGGGUGUGAAAUUUCGGAGCUUAACUCCGAAACUGCAUUCGAUACUGCGGUGCUUGAGGACUGGAGAGGAGACUGGAAUUCACGGUGUAGCGGUGAAAUGCGUAGAUAUCUGGAGGAACACCGGUGGCGAAGGCGACAUCCUGGACCAACACUGACGCUGAGUGAGCGAAAGCCAGGGGAGCAAACGGG
This 254-nucleotide ribosomal RNA is filed under the name uncultured bacterium. RNAcentral describes it as "partial 16S ribosomal RNA". It matches the Rfam family "Bacterial small subunit ribosomal RNA", at positions 524 to 776 of the family's 1533-position model. The record is from RNAcentral.